UUUUUUUUCAGUUUUAAGUGAUCCUAUACGUAAAGAAGAGUAUGACAAGAAAGGAAUGCUAUACCUCUAUGAUUACAACAUCGUUUAAACCGUUUUUUAUAUAAUGAACGCCUCGCGUAUGUGACGUGCGUGCCUCACGCAUCAGCUUUUGGGAUCAAAAUGCAAAACACUUCAACUUUUAGGAUAAAAAAAAUAUUGAAGCGCCUCACGCUUUUAAAACCGAGAAUAAAAGUAGUGAUGGGAUAAGUAUAUUAUAUGUUUGGGCCUGGCCUAUAAGGGAACAAAUAUGUAUUUCGAAGUUACAUUUAACAUUCUCAUAUUUUCAAUUUUCAUUGAUAUAAAUGUUAUUGCAUG
This is a long non-coding RNA of Helianthus annuus (common sunflower), 354 nucleotides long. RefSeq lists it as uncharacterized. Lineage: Eukaryota; Viridiplantae; Streptophyta; Magnoliopsida; Asterales; Asteraceae. The record is from RefSeq and is a predicted model, not a curated record. The transcript is spliced from 2 exons.